RNAcentral lists this ribosomal RNA (1244 nucleotides) under metagenome. Its description in RNAcentral is "bacterial LSU rRNA". It matches the Rfam family "Bacterial large subunit ribosomal RNA", at positions 1564 to 2817 of the family's 2925-position model. The record is from RNAcentral.
UGAAUACGAGACGCUAAGGCGUCGAAGUAGUGUAUGUCAUACUUCCAAGAAAAGCUUGCACUGUCAUAGAUAAAAAACGCCUGUACCAUAACCGACACAGGUGGGUAGGUAGAGUAUACUAAGGGGCGCGAGAUAACUCUCCCUAAGGAACUCGGCAAAAUAACUCCGUAACUUCGGGAGAAGGAGUGCCUUAUUCGUAAGGUUGCAAUAACAAGAUCCAAGCAACUGUUUAUCAAAAACACAGGUCUCCGCUAAGUCGUAAGACGAUGUAUGGGGGCUGACGCCUGCCCAGUGCCAGAAGGUUAAAGAAGUUGGUUAGCAAUUGCGAAGCUGAUAACUGAAGCCCUGGUGAACGGCGGCCGUAACUAUAACGGUCCUAAGGUAGCGAAAUUCCUUGUCGGGUAAGUUCCGACCCGCACGAAAGGCGUAAUGAUUUGGAUACUGUCUCGGAGAGGGGCUCGGUGAAAUAGACUUGUCUGUGAAGAUGCGGACUACCUGCACCAGGACAGAAAGACCCUAUGAAGCUUUACUGUAACUUGAAAUUGAAAUUGGACUUUAUUCGCGCAGUAUAGGUGGGAGGCGUUGAUUAUAAUCUUGUGGGAUUAUUGGAGCCAUCAGUGAGAUACCACUCUUGUAAUGUUAGAUUUCUAACUUUGAAUCAUUAUCUGGUCAAAGAACAGUUUCAGGCGGGCAGUUUGACUGGGGCGGUCGCCUCCUAAACGGUAACGGAGGCGUACAAAGGUUUCCUCUGAACGGUUAGAAAUCGUAUCUAGAGUGUAAAGGCAUAAGGAAGCUUGACUGUGAGACCUACAAGUCGAGCAGGGACGAAAGUCGGUCUUAGUGAUCUGACGGUACUGAGUGGAAAGGCCGUCACUCAACGGAUAAAAGCUACUCUAAGGAUAACAGGCUGAUCUCCCCCAAGAGUUCACAUCGACGGAGAGGUUUGGCACCUUGAUGUCGGCUCAUCGCAUCCUGGGGCGGUAGUACGUCCCAAGGGUUGGGCUGUUCGCCCAUGAAAGCGGUACGCGAGCUGGGUUCAGAACGUCGUGAGACAGUUCGGUCCAUAUCCGGUGUAGGCGUUAGAAUAUUGAGAGGAGCCUUCUUUAGUACGAGAGGACCGAGAAGGACAUACCUCUGGUGUACCAGUUAUCGUGCCAACGGUAAACGCUGGGUAGCUAUGUAUGGAGUGGAUAACCGCUGAAAGCAUCUAAGUGGGAAGCCCACCUCAAGAUAAGUAUUCUCAC